Molecule: long non-coding RNA, 255 nt
Organism: Zalophus californianus (California sea lion)
Lineage: Eukaryota; Metazoa; Chordata; Mammalia; Carnivora; Otariidae
Exons: 3
Source: RefSeq, a predicted model, not a curated record
GGCGCCUCUGCUGGAGGGGAGGGACUGAGAAAGACAGACGAGCAAAAUAGACACAGUCAGUCCCUAGAGCUGAAGACCUCACUCUCUCCACUGCCUUCCCUGUCUCAGACUUAAAAAAUGUCUCUCCUCUCAUCACGGAUCAAAGCCAUUUUCAUCAUUGCCUUGGUGUUUCCUCUUUAUUCUGAUGCUGGACUGUACACGAUAUUCACCUGGGCGAAAUGAUUGCACCAGAGAAUGGUAUCCAGUCUGUGCCAG